This 378-nucleotide unclassified non-coding RNA is filed under the name uncultured bacterium. Its description in RNAcentral is "contains 16S-23S intergenic spacer region". The record is from RNAcentral.
UCCGGUUUGUCACCGGCAGUAUUCCAUGAGUCCCCAACUUAAUGCUGGCAACAUGGAACGGGGGUUGCGCUCGUUGCGGGACUUAACCCAGCAUCUCACGGCACGAGCUGACGACAGCCAUGCAGCACCUGUAUACGCUCCCUUGCGGGUCGGUCACCUUUCGGAUCCCUACCACGUAUAUGUCAAGCCCAGGUAAGGUUCUUCGCGUUGCAUCGAAUUAAACCACAUGCUCCACCGCUUGUGCGGGCCCCCGUCAAUUCCUUUGAGUUUCAGCCUUGCGGCCGUACUCCCCAGGCGGGGCACUUAAUGCGUUAGCGCCGGCACUCGGAGGGUCGCUCCCCCAAGCACCUAGUGCCCAUCGUUUACGGCGUGGACUAC